Molecule: long non-coding RNA, 1664 nt
Organism: Patella vulgata (common limpet)
Lineage: Eukaryota; Metazoa; Mollusca; Gastropoda; Patellidae
Exons: 8
Source: RefSeq, a predicted model, not a curated record
CAUUAGCCUGAAUAGUGAAGGAAUGCGGGUCAUUAAACCCCAAUUUCAUUUCAUAAAUCUCUCGGCUCAAUAAUGAGCUACUCGGGUUGGUUAGAUCCACGCCUUAAUGCAUAUACAACCAAUAGAGAAAUAGGUCAAAUAUGGCGACAAUGAUCAACUUGCUCUUCUUCUACUAAAUUAAAGAUUCGUGUGGAGAUUCUGUCGAUAUUAUCAUAUAUUUAUAUCUGCUCUUUCUUAAAAUGGAGACGCUUGGUGGUCGAGAACGGAAGAACAAAAGAAUGAGGAGAAAGAACGCACUCGAUCCAUCAGAAGAUCCAAGAGUAAGAGUCCUGUUAUAGAUUCUCAGCCAUAAAGCUAUAUCAGUUGUAAAAAUUCUUCGUGUGUUGAGAGUUCUACGUCCUUUACGUGCCGUAAACAGAGCUAAAGGAUGAAGAACAUCUUUUAACAGAAGAAAAUCCUUUAAUUCACGAGUUAAUAGCUAAUAUAUAGUUUCCUGUCGACUAUACUUGUAGAACAGAAAUUUACUGAGUGAUAAACUGGAGAAGAUCUGUGAAGAUUGAAGGCCGUCAGAGCUGCUGUAUUCGAACAUAAACCGUCAUUAAAAGUUGGUUGUGAUUAUUUGAUACGUGAUUGUGUCAAGAGAUAUCCACUAGAAAACUGUCCACUGUGUAGCUGAAGAUCCUGAGAAUCAACUGAAAGGUUGUAAAAAUCAAAUAGACAAAGAGUUUAUUGUGGUCAUCUGUUUCAUAAUGGUUGUUUAGAUACGUUCAUGAAAACACCUCCAUUUAUAGGUUGCGGUUUAAACUACGUCAAGCUGAAAAGGAUGGAAAGAUACAGGAAGUCGUAGAAAUAUUAUCAUUACAAGAUAAGAUGCAAGCUUUACCUAUAGCUGCUGAAUACGGGUUUUAUAAAGUUAUGGUUUGUCUGUUAGAAGACGGAGUUGUUGAUAUACAUUAUGUUGGGUGACCUAUUUACGGCAAAUAUAAAAAUUUAAAAGACCGUAGAAUUGUGAAAUGAAUAGAACUACACAACUUCUAAAUAUAAAUAAACAAAAUACCAAUACUUCUUUCUUUAAACUAAUUUGGGAUGAACGGGUCUACUAUGGCACACAAAAAUAAAUUAUGCCGUGACAGACAUGGUUUGCGUACGUCGGCUUUUACCAUGGCUUUGCCGUUUAAUUGCCGUGGUAAAUUUAGAGCGCAAGUUUGUGUACAGAGAAGGGCGAAGGGGUUUAAAUACGACUGGGCGGCUUUCUUCGAUUUUUUCUUUGUGCUGGGCGACAAAAAAUACUGACGGACGCAAGCGCCAGGCGCCACCCAGCGUGGCUACACCCCUGGAUGCUGGUGUAGAUGUCAACCAGGUGAAUGAUGAUAAAGAUACACCUAUAUUGAUAGCUGCUGAACGAGGGUUGUAUGAAGUUGUGAUAUAUCUGUUAAAACAUGGAGUAGAUGUACAUGGUGUUGAUAGCUAUAAGGACAACCUGAUAUAUAAACUUUUAGAUUACUAUGAUAAUGAUGACAAACCAGGUAGACGUGAUUUGUUAUUACAAUGUGUAGUUACAUUAGUUGAUGCUGGUGUAGAUGUCAACAAGGUGAAUGAUGAUCAACAGACACCUAUAUUUAUAGCUGCUAUUAUUAGUAUUAAAGGGUUGUAUGAAGUUGUAA